GUCUCUCGCUGCCGCCGGAGUUUCCAGGUCUCGACUUCGCUGCUCUGUGUCCUCUGCUCCAGGAGGCCCAGCCUGUGUGGCCCUGUGACCUGCAGGUAUUGGAGAGCCACAGCUAAGACGCCAGGAACCCCUGGAAGCCUAGAAAUGGGACUGUUGACAUUUAGGGAUGUGGCCAUAGAAUUCUCUCCGGAGGAGUGGCAAUGUCUGGACACUGCACAGCAGAAUUUAUAUAGGAAUGUGAUGUUAGAGAACUACAGAAACCUGGCCUUCCUGGGUAUUGCUCUCUCUAAGCCAGACCUGAUUACUUGUCUGGAGCAAGGAAAAGAGCCCUGGAAUAUGAAGCAACAUGAGAUGGUGGAUGAACCCACAGGGCCCAGACAGAAGAGAAGAGUCACAUCAUCUAGAUGAUGAAUGAAAAGAUAUGUCAUUAUUCUCCUUUGGGCAGUGCUUCUGCAGAAAAGUUGCACCUUCUAGGUGUUGGACUCAGCAAUAUAUCACAAUGUCUGCGGUAUUUUGGAAGGAGAGGAGAGUCACCAUUACUUAGGUGCUAGGCCCAGCAAUACAU
RNAcentral lists this small RNA (565 nucleotides) under Pan troglodytes (chimpanzee). RNAcentral describes it as "processed transcript". The record is from RNAcentral. Lineage: Eukaryota; Metazoa; Chordata; Mammalia; Primates; Hominidae.